RNAcentral lists this signal recognition particle RNA (306 nucleotides) under Dictyocaulus viviparus (bovine lungworm). Its description in RNAcentral is "Metazoan signal recognition particle RNA". It matches the Rfam family "Metazoan signal recognition particle RNA". Rfam says of the family: The signal recognition particle (SRP) is a universally conserved ribonucleoprotein. The record is from Rfam by way of RNAcentral. Lineage: Eukaryota; Metazoa; Nematoda; Chromadorea; Rhabditida; Metastrongylidae.
ACCGGGCGUCGUGGCGGGCGCCUGUGAGCCAGCUUCUAGGCGGUAGAUUGGUGUGGAUGGAGUGAGGGGAGGAGUCCCGCGGUGGUCGUGGAGUGCGGCGACCGGGCGUCCGCGUCAAGCGUUGCGUCGCUAGGGUUGUGCCGUCGGAGGAUGGCAUCUCCCAUGGCGUCCGUGUCAAGCAUUGCGUCGCCAGGGUUGUGCCUCGGAGGAUGGCAUGCCCCGGGCGGUCAAGGAGUGGUGUACGGCUCAGGACCGUGAGCACCCAUCCUACCGCGGCCUCUCCGACACCUUCAGACCUCCGGUCGU